Molecule: long non-coding RNA, 117 nt
Organism: Alosa alosa (allis shad)
Lineage: Eukaryota; Metazoa; Chordata; Actinopteri; Clupeiformes; Clupeidae
Exons: 4
Source: RefSeq, a predicted model, not a curated record
GGUUCUGUGUGCAUGGAUUUACAUGUAUGCUUGAGUACAAAACUGUGGUUUGUCUGUUUGUGUGUGUAUGUGCUUCAUGUCGGUGUGUGUGUGUGUGUGUGUGUUUAUGAGAGGGUG